This is an RNA transcript of Haliotis rubra (blacklip abalone), 1795 nucleotides long. RefSeq lists it as uncharacterized. NCBI's taxonomy places the organism in Eukaryota, Metazoa, Mollusca, Gastropoda, Lepetellida, Haliotidae. The transcript has 2 exons. The record is from RefSeq and is a predicted model, not a curated record.
AAUUGAGGGGAUUUGGGGGUAUUUAAUUCAAGUAUUAUUUUAUCACCACUUAUGCUAAUCCACAUAUAUUAUGAUAAGCGAUUGUAUUCGUUAGGUUCAUGUAGGGCAGGUUUUGGCGAAAUGGCGCCUUAUGAGUUGACUGCAAGUGUGUUUCCAAAAGGCUUGGAUCGAUAAGUGAAGAGAAAGCCCCGGAAUAGUGAUAAAUCAUGUGUCUCAAACAUGACUCAUGAUAAGAGAUGUUAAAUGGGCUCAGUGCCCAAGAUUCACAGGCAGUGUCACACUGACAUUAUCUCAGCUACUACUUUUUUUCUCUGAAUGUUUUGAAAUGCACUUGCAGUCACUGUGUAGUCUAAGGUAAUAUAGGAAUGUUUCAGUGAAGCAGGUAAUUCAGGUUGUCUACACUGAUUGUUCUAUGUGCGCCAAAUGAACCAUUAUACCCCUGAAUAACUAUACGUUCGUGUAGGAGGAAUGUAUAAAUUAUCCACUCAUGGGUAUCUGCACUGGUUUGGGUAGACUUGCACAAGUCUCUAAGGUAAUAAGUGGAAAAAUAGUUUAAAUGAUAAUUUCUAAAAAGUAUAAAAACAGACUGACGUCCUCAGAUUUAUUUCCUCUUUAAGGAUAGAGUUACUAUACAUCCAUGGGGUCAGCAUUCAGUACAGCCUUGGAGCAAGGCUAUGGUCUGGGCAACAGGUGGAUAUAAUCACUCACACUUCACCAAGAGUGGCGCCCCAAAAUAUCCGUCAAUGUAUAAUGGGACAUUAUUUCUUUUGGGCAAAUGUUUCUCGUACGCAGAGCUUCGAUUGUGUUACAAUACCAGACAGCAGGCACAAGAGAUUGAAGAAUGUUUGGGUACGAUAACCAUGUGUUACCACGCGUGUAACACGUGUUCUAUAAUAAAGCCACUGGUGAAGAUAUUUAGUGAUCAUUCUGACACUCGAUGCGAUAUUCCGAACAGCUGCUCUCGAUGCGAGAUACCGUUAUUUAUAAACUGCAUAUCACAAGUGCAAAAGGUCACCUUGAACCAGCACAUGGUUUUAGAAAGACCGACUAUGGGAUCCAAGCUCACAUAAUAUAUAAAUUGUGGAAACAUUAUCUCCUACCAGUGUAGAUACCAGUGAACAUUGAUUGAUAGGAGAUAUCAUUUAGCCUAACCCAGCCAAACUAUAACCAGUGUAUAUCGAUGUAUUUCACUUAUGACCAUGUAGACUGUUACCGUAUUAUCGGCAAUAGGCGAACAUUGUGAUGAACUGUAAUAUAUAGAAGACACUGGUAAUGAUACUUUAGACAGAAGUUUAAGAUUUUGUAACUUUCAAUGAUCCAACUAACCUUAUUUUUGUCAUGUUAUAUCUAUCAAUAUGUUGGCAUGUAUUUUCAUAUUCAUCCUAACUGUCUUGUGCAAUGAGAAAACCAUAUUGUGCUUUGAUUUGUGUUCAUAUGUGAUCAUCAUUGUUGUUGGUCACUUGUUCUGUGUAUGCCGCCAUUCUUGUGCAAUUUCCUUUUGGAACAGAUAGUUCGGGUUGAGAGAUGAUUGCGAUUCGCUGACAGGGAUCGCACGCAUCGAUCGCUCAGGGGAGACAACCCACCCGGUGGGUUUACCGGCAAUCCUGAGACACCUGGAGUCGAGAACUAUAGUAUUCCUUUCUCACAUGGAUAUACGUAGACAAGCGGAUCUGUCCUGGGUUCCGGUAUAAGGUGCGGUAUAACGGGAGAGACGAGGAGCUAUUUGACGGGGAGGCACGCACUCUGCUCAGCGUCGGGAUGGGCUAUGGCAAGCGGCUGACCUUUGAAGGAGAGA